AGUGCUGGAGCCUAUCUCAGCUGCAUUUGGGCAGAAGGCGGGGUACACCCUGGACAAGUCGUCACCUCAUCACAGGGCCAACACAGAUAAACAGACAACAUUCACACUCACAGGGGAUAUCUUCGGGCCACCACAUGGGCUUGCAGCUCUCCUUGCCCCAGCCGGGCUUGCCCCGGCCCGUCGAGUAUUUCAGCAUCUCCGGGAUGAAGGCUCUGAGCUGGGCCUGUGAUGGAGCGUAAGAAGAUGAGGAUGACGCCCUUGAGCUGCAAGGUGGGCGGUCACCUCAUCGUUCCCGGCCGAGUUGAGGAUGUCCGUGUCGUCGUAGGGGUCAUCGUCAGGCGAGGAAGUGGAGUCCUCAUCUGCGCUCAUCAUGGAUGUGUCGCCAAAGAUAAACCUGUUGGCUGACGGCGCUGGCCUCAAUGGUGGUCAUGUGCUCUGCCUGGUGAACAGCGUGAUCCUCCAUGACGGCUGGAUACAACAACUGGCGAAACAUAAGAUGCAUGUCAUAAUGUAAGGAGACAGAUCAAAUCAAUUUCAUGUGCUUACAGUGUGGAUCAUGUGUGUACAGUUAGAUGCAGGCAUCACUGGAGACUUUAAAUCCAACAAAUAAAGUGAACUCACACUAUACAUUACAAUU
This is a non-coding RNA of Nerophis lumbriciformis (worm pipefish), 637 nucleotides long. The record is from RefSeq and is a predicted model, not a curated record. NCBI's taxonomy places the organism in Eukaryota, Metazoa, Chordata, Actinopteri, Syngnathiformes, Syngnathidae.